This 663-nucleotide ribosomal RNA is filed under the name uncultured Bacilli bacterium. RNAcentral describes it as "bacterial SSU rRNA". It matches the Rfam family "Bacterial small subunit ribosomal RNA", at positions 64 to 708 of the family's 1533-position model. Lineage: Bacteria; Bacillati; Bacillota; Bacilli. The record is from RNAcentral.
GAACGAGAGCGACCGGUGCUUGCACUGGUCAAUCUAGUGGCGAACGGGUGAGUAACACGUGGGUAACCUGCCCUUCAGAGGGGGAUAACAUUCGGAAACGGAUGCUAAAACCGCAUAGGUCUUCGAACCGCAUGGUUUGAAGAGGAAAAGAGGCGCAAGCUUCUGCUGAUGGAUGGACCCGCGGUGCAUUAGCUAGUUGGUGAGGUAACGGCUCACCAAGGCCGUGAUGCAUAGCCGACCUGAGAGGGUGAUCGGCCACAUUGGGACUGAGACACGGCCCAAACUCCUACGGGAGGCAGCAGUAGGGAAUCUUCCGCAAUGGACGCAAGUCUGACGGAGCAACGCCGCGUGAGUGAAGAAGGUUUUCGGAUCGUAAAACUCUGUUGUUAGAGAAGAACAAGUGCUAGAGUAACUGUUAGCGCCUUGACGGUAUCUAACCAGAAAGCCACGGCUAACUACGUGCCAGCAGCCGCGGUAAUACGUAGGUGGCAAGCGUUGUCCGGAUUUAUUGGGCGUAAAGCGAGCGCAGGCGGUUCCUUAAGUCUGAUGUGAAAGCCCCCGGCUCAACCGGGGAGGGUCAUUGGAAACUGGGGAACUUGAGUGCAGAAGAGGAGAGUGGAAUUCCAUGUGUAGCGGUGAAGUGCGUAGGUAUAUGGAGGAACA